UACGGAGGGUGCGAGCGUUGUUCGGAAUUAUUGGGCGUAAAGGGCGUGCAGGCGGCUUGUCAGGUCUGAUGUGAAAGCCCCGGGCUCAACCCGGGAAGUGCAUUGGAAACCGGCAGGCUUGAAUACGGGAGAGGGCAGUGGAAUUCCUGGUGUAGGGGUGAAAUCCGCAGAUAUCAGGAGGAACACCGGUGGCGAAGGCGGCUGCCUGGACCGAUAUUGACGCUGAGACGCGAAAGCGUGGGGAGCAAACAGG
RNAcentral lists this ribosomal RNA (253 nucleotides) under uncultured Geobacter sp. Its description in RNAcentral is "partial 16S ribosomal RNA". It matches the Rfam family "Bacterial small subunit ribosomal RNA", at positions 524 to 776 of the family's 1533-position model. The record is from RNAcentral. Lineage: Bacteria; Pseudomonadati; Thermodesulfobacteriota; Desulfuromonadia; Geobacterales; Geobacteraceae.